RNAcentral lists this ribosomal RNA (253 nucleotides) under uncultured bacterium. RNAcentral describes it as "partial 16S ribosomal RNA". It matches the Rfam family "Bacterial small subunit ribosomal RNA", at positions 524 to 776 of the family's 1533-position model. The record is from RNAcentral.
GACAGAGGGUGCAAACGUUGUUCGGAUUUACUGGGCGUAAAGCGUGUGUAGGCGGCUUCGUAAGUUGGAUGUGAAAUCCCACGGCUCAACCGUGGACGUGCAUCCAAAACUACGUCGCUGGAGUCUCGGAGAGGAAGGUGGAAUGCUUGGUGUAGAGGUGAAAUUCGUAGAUAUCGGGAGGAAUACCAGUGGCGAAGGCGGCCUUCUGGACGGAUACUGACGCUGAGGCGCGAAAGCUAGGGGAGCAAACGGG